GGCCAGCAGGUAAGCUGAGAGACCAAGCAGUCGGACUCUUCAGAUUAUCUCCUCAUCAGGCUAAUCACGGU
RNAcentral lists this small RNA (71 nucleotides) under Pseudomonas aeruginosa PAK. RNAcentral's name for it is "PrrF2". Lineage: Bacteria; Pseudomonadati; Pseudomonadota; Gammaproteobacteria; Pseudomonadales; Pseudomonadaceae. The record is from RNAcentral.